UCUCUUCACACAACCACGGAUCUGUGCCCAGCGCUCCUCUGCCGUCCUCGGGUGGCUAGGGUCGAGAGCUGAGGCAGUUCGGCGAUAAAAAGGAGCCAUCACUAUACCCCAUGGUGUCAAUCAUCCUCCCGACAGAUCCCAGAGCAACCGAACCUUGGGGAGCCUCGUUCGCUGGAAACAGCUUGAGCUUGGUGAACCAGGUCCGAGACGCUAUAUUCCAAGUCGUUAGCCGAGACCGUCGGUCUAUGGGGCUGGGAAAAACCAUAGCUGCCUACAUUU
This 279-nucleotide small RNA is filed under the name Thermochaetoides thermophila DSM 1495. Its description in RNAcentral is "Chaetomium thermophilum var. thermophilum DSM 1495 A. fumigatus sRNA Afu_309". It matches the Rfam family "A. fumigatus sRNA Afu_309". The record is from Rfam by way of RNAcentral. Lineage: Eukaryota; Fungi; Ascomycota; Sordariomycetes; Sordariales; Chaetomiaceae.